CAGGUGUUCUACUCUGCUAGCCAGCACCUCCCCUAACCAGGUGUUCUACUCUGCUAGCCAGCACCUCCUCUAACCAGGUGUUCUACUCUGCUAGCCAGUACCUCCUCUAACCAGGUGUUCUACUCUGCUAGCCAGUACCUCCUCUAACCAGGUGUUCUACUCUGCUAGCCAGCACCUCCUCUAACCAGGUGUUCUACUCUGCUAGCCAGCACCUCCUCUAACCAGGUGUUCUACUCUGCUAGCCAGCACCUCCUCUAACCAGGUGUUCUACUCUGCUAGCCAGUACCUCCUCUAACCAGGUGUUCUACUCUGCUAGCCAGUACCUCCUCUAACCAGGUGUUCUACUCUGCUAGCCAGUACCUCCUCUAACCAGGUGUUCUACUCUGCUAGCCAGUACCUCCUCUAACCAGGUGUUCUACUCUGCUAGCCAGUACCUCCUCUAACCAGGUGUUCUACUCUGCUAGCCAGCACCUCCUCUAACCAGGUGUUCUACUCUGCUAGCCAGUACCUC
Molecule: long non-coding RNA, 511 nt
Organism: Oncorhynchus keta (chum salmon)
Lineage: Eukaryota; Metazoa; Chordata; Actinopteri; Salmoniformes; Salmonidae
Exons: 5
Source: RefSeq, a predicted model, not a curated record